ACCGGUUUGGCUCAGUGGAUAGAGCAUCAGCCUGCGGGCUGAAGGGUCCCAGGUUCGAUUCCGGUCAACGGCA
RNAcentral lists this transfer RNA (73 nucleotides) under Myotis davidii. It matches the Rfam family "tRNA". Rfam says of the family: Transfer RNA (tRNA) molecules are approximately 80 nucleotides in length. Lineage: Eukaryota; Metazoa; Chordata; Mammalia; Chiroptera; Vespertilionidae. The record is from Rfam by way of RNAcentral.